Molecule: long non-coding RNA, 213 nt
Organism: Octopus sinensis (East Asian common octopus)
Lineage: Eukaryota; Metazoa; Mollusca; Cephalopoda; Octopoda; Octopodidae
Exons: 3
Source: RefSeq, a predicted model, not a curated record
AUAUCAAUCAUCUUCUGUAUUUCGAAUUCAAAAUGGCUGUCGACUAGCAUCACGUUUGAAACUCAAGAGUACCAACGAAUUUGAAUCAAACUGUUUUGAUCCAUACAUGUAUCUCCCAAUAAAUUAGUUGAGUGCCCUUCUUACGCUUGUCUACUCACUCUUAUAUAUACAUAUACAUAUGUAUAUAUAUAUAUAUACAUACAUAUAUAUAUA